AACGUAGGAGACAAACGUUAUCCGGAGUUACUGGGCGUAAAGGGCGUGUAGGUGGUGCUGUAAGUUCGGCGUGAAAUUUUUCGGCUUAACCGGGAAAGGUCGUCGGAUACUGCAGGACUAGAGGACGGUAGAGGCGUGUGGAAUUCCGGGUGUAGUGGUGAAAUGCGUAGAGAUCCGGAGGAACACCAGUGGCGAAGGCGACACGCUGGGCCGUACCUGACACUGAUGCGCGACAGCAUGGGGAGCAAACAGG
Molecule: ribosomal RNA, 253 nt
Filed under: uncultured bacterium
Lineage: Bacteria
Description: partial 16S ribosomal RNA
Rfam family: Bacterial small subunit ribosomal RNA
Source: RNAcentral